GAAGACAGAGCAGGAAGCCAAGAGGAGUGAAGGAGCAGAAUAUGGAAUUCACCUGGAGAUAAUGAAGCAGCAGAAGUUGUCAGCCCCUUUUAUGUCUGUCUAAAAAAAGAGGCCUUUUGUUUCAGUGAAACCGAAGAAUGAAAAUUAAAAAGCUAAACAAAGCAGAAAAUUUCUGCAAAAAUAAUUUGACACUUGCUAUUGAUUUAAGGAAUGGAGCAGCAGAGUUUAACAAGUUGCACAAAAGCACCUUUGGUCUGCUUUAAAAAUCUCUCUAAAAGAAACAGUUAUAUCACUCAUAUGCUGUUCACCUGUCUCUUCUCAUCUCUAGAUCUCAAAAGCGGAACUGCUCUAACUUCACAUGCCAAAGUAGAACCUACUUCUCCUGCCUCUGCCUUGCACUCAGCAUCCAGCCUUGCCCAUGGUGCAGUACAGCAGAUAUUGCUGUGGGAGAGCCUGGCUGGUGAGACAGAGUUCCUUCCUGCUCACCUCCUUGAGCAUGGAGCUGUGUCAGCUGGGAUGACUGGAGAAGCCCAUCUCUUUCCCCGUCCUCUGACAGCAGGAAAUUGAAAGUAAGGAAAUCUCAUCAGGAACAACACCCACGUGCAGGUACCAAGCUCCUGCUGCACCUGAAUUCAAUUGAUGCAAAGAAGCUGAAUUUAAAAUAUGCUCCAGAACAAAGCAAGGCCAGCUGGAGGAUUUCCUGCAGGAGAAAGGAAAAGCCUGGGGAGGCAGUGGGCCGGAAUGCUGAGCUGUGACACAUUCCUGCUGGCUACAGUCUCAUUCUGUUCCUCCCCUUACUAAGGCGGGCAAGCCCCGGGGUGUUGGCAGCGCUGCGGUGUGACAGCGGCAGCCCGGGCAGGCGAUCCAUGCGGUGAUCCCGGCCAUCCACGCGGGGAUUGAGUCACUCGCACAAGGUCACGCGAAUCGCUGGCGCCGCCAGGAAUAGCACCCGGAGCCUCCCGGCUCUCUCGAGCCCACCCUCGGCACUCCAGCCCGAAUUCCCCUGGUCUGAGACUUCUUCAAGCAAUGUGUCCUGCAAGGAUUAUGAACCUUUCUGCAGCAAGAUCUGAAACAGCCAGAUUCCAAUUUAAAUCAAAGUCCCUAGGAUUCACUUGUGAUUUCCAGUAAGGCUUCUUUAAGCAUGGCUCUGCUGCACACAAGAAAAUCACACCACAGGCUGGAGUGAGCCAGGAAGUCUUGUCCCCAAGUGGCUUUAUGCUCUUCAAAGAUACCUGAAGGAGCCAGAGAAGGUUUCAGGGAAUUUCAGGUGGCAGGCAGGAGUCGUGAGCCCCAGGUCCCUCCUGUGUGACGCCCCAGGUCUGUCUCGACAGCAGUGCUGGCCGGUGCUGACAGAGUAACUUCAGCUGGGAUCUGUGGUACUGCUGUGUCCCUGGCUGCUGAGAGCAGGGAAGGAGGGCUCCAUCUACUGCUGUGCGGGGAGAAGGCAAAAAUAACCGGGAUGGCAUUCCUCUGCUGCACAGAAAAGCUACUGGGUACAUGAACUCCAGCUGGCAACCUGCCCUGCAAUUUCCAGGGACAGCAAACCUGUGAGACAGAUGCACUCACUGUGUGACUGAGGAUGCUCUCCAGCCCUGCUGAGCCAGCCCUGGGAGCGGGGCUGUGUGUGGGGUCUGCUGUUUUCUAGUUGGAGUGAUUUUUAUAGCCUGUAUUAUAAGGAAACCCACACGUGAGGAAAGGAAGAAGGAAUUAAAUGGAAAACAAACCACAGGCCCAGCCAUUAAUCCUUCUGGGGAAAGCAGGGCCUGGGCUGCAUUCUUCAGCAUCCAACCCACUGUGGGACACACCAGGUGAAAGUCGUCAACAGUCUGAGCUGAGUCUCUGGUCAGCCAUCGUUCUGGGGGAUCUGCUGCUGCUCUCCCACUGGAGCCUGUUCCUUUGUGCUCUUUCCAUGAGGAGCAGCCAAAAUCAUGAAUUAAACAUUGCUGAUAUUAAAGAGGACUCCUGGCAUCUGCCCCAAAUGGAGAAAUCAACGUGUCAUUCAUUACAGAUAUCCACACUUGUACAGGGAACACGUGUUUGCCAGAUGGUGCCAGUUCAGGAUUCCCAGAGGGAGCAGGAGUGGUCCAUCCCUGCUGAAUGCCAGAGCCACCCCAGUCCCGGGGUCCCCCAAGGGUCUUCACUCCUCUCCCUGCAGCCUGGCAGAGAUGCCCCUGGGCCUCUCCCAGCUGAGGCUGUGUUGUGACCCCAGACUGCCAAGGAAAGUACAAAAUUGAUGUAUCUUGGGGGAGGGAGGGAGGGGUGUGGGCUGAGAUCUGGUGUCUCAAGACCAUUCUUUAGACAGUGCUGAUCCAGACUGUCUUAUUCCCAGCAUUUUUCAAAUUGUUAUUUCCUACAGUUUGCAACUACACACAGUAGUCAGAGGUUAUGACACGUAGCUGACUUUAAAGGACACUGUCUGUAACAAGUGCUAUGUACAUAUUCUAUAAAUGUUGUUAUACCCUGUAUUUUAUAGCUUUAGACUGCAAUAAAUGGGGACAAACUA
Manacus vitellinus (golden-collared manakin) is the source of this 2503-nucleotide long non-coding RNA. RefSeq lists it as uncharacterized. The transcript is spliced from 10 exons. Lineage: Eukaryota; Metazoa; Chordata; Aves; Passeriformes; Pipridae. The record is from RefSeq and is a predicted model, not a curated record.